Molecule: ribosomal RNA, 253 nt
Filed under: uncultured bacterium
Lineage: Bacteria
Description: partial 16S ribosomal RNA
Rfam family: Bacterial small subunit ribosomal RNA
Source: RNAcentral
UACAGAGGGGGCAAGCGUUAUUCGGAAUUAUUGGGCGUAAAGGGUGCGUAGGCGGAUAGUACAGUCAGGCGUGAAAUUCCUGGGCUCAACCUGGGGGCUGCGUUUGAUACGUAUUGUCUGGAGUUCGGAAGAGGGUCGUGGAAUUCCCAGUGUAGAGGUGAAAUUCGUAGAUAUUGGGAAGAACACCGGUGGCGAAGGCGGCGACCUGGUCCGAUACUGACGCUGAGGCGCGAAAGCGUGGGGAGCAAACAGG